UACUCCUCUUCUAGGUGCAAAACCAAG
This 27-nucleotide non-coding RNA is filed under the name Mus musculus (house mouse). The record is from RNAcentral. Lineage: Eukaryota; Metazoa; Chordata; Mammalia; Rodentia; Muridae.